UGCCCAGCAACUCCUAUCCCUACCUCCUCGUAGUACCAGCCGGAAACUACGAUCAACUUUAGGGAAGAUCGGGUAACCAACCCCGGUGGGUACUUUGGUCAUAGGCUGACAGGGAAGG
Aedes albopictus (Asian tiger mosquito) is the source of this 118-nucleotide non-coding RNA. The record is from Rfam. NCBI's taxonomy places the organism in Eukaryota, Metazoa, Arthropoda, Insecta, Diptera, Culicidae.